Long non-coding RNA from Fukomys damarensis (Damara mole-rat), 523 nucleotides. RefSeq lists it as uncharacterized. NCBI's taxonomy places the organism in Eukaryota, Metazoa, Chordata, Mammalia, Rodentia, Bathyergidae. The record is from RefSeq and is a predicted model, not a curated record. The transcript has 3 exons.
AACCGUCUUUGAAGUAGCCAAGUCAUUCUCUCUGCAGCCUGCACCUUGGGAACCCAGUCACCACAGAGGGAAAAUUUGGAGGACAAAAAUCAGAGAAUAUUCUUCCAAAGGAUGACAGUGGAUUUGAGGGGCCCAAGAUGAUCAAGAAGAGGGGCCUGGGUCUUCAGCCUGUCCCUGCCUGGCUGUGUCCUCUUCUGAGUCCACCUGGCAAAGGCUCUUUCUCACACCGACUGGCAGCCCUGUGAUUGGGAGAAAGCCCGGCUCAGGAGGCCCCUUACCGUCCAGCCCAUGUUUCUCCGGGAGGAGAUGUGAUAGAGCAGAAAGAAGGUUGAGGCGCGGUUCACAAGAGCAUGCUUGAGUCCCCACUGCCGCAGUUCCCAGCUGGGUGAUCCUUCUCAGCGUGGUGCCUCAUCCCCGUGGACCUCUGUCUCAUCACCUGCAAAACCCAGCAGCAAGAGUCCAGAUCUUCCAGCUGCCAGUCCACGUUCCUUCUGCUCUGUCUGCUGUGGAUAACACAAAGACC